Molecule: ribosomal RNA, 1382 nt
Filed under: uncultured bacterium
Lineage: Bacteria
Description: bacterial SSU rRNA
Rfam family: Bacterial small subunit ribosomal RNA
Source: RNAcentral
AGAGUUUGAUCCUGGCUCAGGAUGAACGCUGGCGGCGUGCUUAACACAUGCAAGUCGAACGAAGCAUUUGCGACAGAUUUUUUUCGGAUUGAAGUUGCUUAUGACUGAGUGGCGGACGGGUGAGUAACGCGUGGGUAACCUGCCUCACACAGGGGGAUAGCAGUUGGAAACGGCUGAUGAUACCGCAUAAGCGCACAGUACCGCAUGGUACAGUGUGAAAAACUCCGGUGGUGUGAGAUGGACCCGCGUCUGAUUAGCUUGUUGGCAGGGUAACGGCCUACCAAGGCAACGAUCAGUAGCCGACCUGAGAGGGUGACCGGCCACAUUGGGACUGAGACACGGCCCAGACUCCUACGGGAGGCAGCAGUGGGGAAUAUUGCACAAUGGAGGAAACUCUGAUGCAGCGACGCCGCGUGAGUGAAGAAGUAAUUCGUUAUGUAAAGCUCUAUCAGCAGGGAAGAUAGUGACGGUACCUGACUAAGAAGCUCCGGCUAAAUACGUGCCAGCAGCCGCGGUAAUACGUGUGGAGCAAGCGUUAUCCGGAUUUACUGGGUGUAAAGGGAGUGUAGGUGGCAUCACAAGUCAGAAGUGAAAGCCCGGGGCUCAACCCCGGGACUGCUUUUGAAACUGUGGAGCUGGAGUGCAGGAGAGGCAAGUGGAAUUCCUAGUGUAGCGGUGAAAUGCGUAGAUAUUAGGAGGAACACCAGUGGCGAAGGCGGCUUGCUGGACUGUAACUGACACUGAGGCUCGAAAGCGUGGGGAGCAAACAGGAUUAGAUACCCUGGUAGUCCACGCCGUAAACGAUGAUUACUAGGUGUUGGAGGAUUGACCCCUUCAGUGCCGCAGUUAACACAAUAAGUAAUCCACCUGGGGAGUACGACCGCAAGGUUGAAACUCAAAGGAAUUGACGGGGGCCCGCACAAGCAGUGGAGUAUGUGGUUUAAUUCGACGCAACGCGAAGAACCUUACCAAGUCUUGACAUCCCUUGACGAUGCUGGAAACAGUAUUUCUCUUCGGAGCAAGGAGACAGGUGGUGCAUGGUUGUCGUCAGCUCGUGUCGUGAGAUGUUGGGUUAAGUCCCGCAACGAGCGCAACCCUUAUGGUCAGUUACUACGCAAGAGGACUCUGGCCAGACUGCCGUUGACAAAACGGAGGAAGGUGGGGAUGACGUCAAAUCAUCAUGCCCUUUAUGACUUGGGCUACACACGUACUACAAUGGCGUUAAACAAAGAGAAGCAAGACCGCGAGGUGGAGCAAAACUCAGAAACAACGUCCCAGUUCGGACUGCAGGCUGCAACUCGCCUGCACGAAGUCGGAAUUGCUAGUAAUCGUGGAUCAGCAUGCCACGGUGAAUACGUUCCCGGGCCUUGCACACACCGCCC